This 54-nucleotide small RNA is filed under the name Rubricella aquisinus. RNAcentral describes it as "ffh sRNA". It matches the Rfam family "ffh sRNA". Lineage: Bacteria; Pseudomonadati; Pseudomonadota; Alphaproteobacteria; Rhodobacterales; Paracoccaceae. The record is from RNAcentral.
GAUCAUGGGGGGAUCGCCACCGGCCAGCGCGUUGCGCCCGUCGGUGCCGAUUUG